UUAAAGUGUCACCAAAGGAGAAUCAGCAGGUGGCAGACAGGACUUGGGGGACACAGAACAGACAUGGGUUCAAAUGACACAGAGUGACGAUGGAGACGAGCGCUGAUGGCGUCCUGUGAUGGACCAGCGUCCUGUCCAGGGUUUGUCACAGCCUCAUCCCCAGUGUCACCCCACACCUGGACUGUCCACCUCUCUUUGCUCCUCGGUGGGACAGGCGACUUGGGGGCUUUUUACAGGAUGACCGCCACUGCUUUACUGCCUCUAGUGGUGAAACUCGGGGGUCUGCAGGUCCGAGUCUGCUUGAGAUUUGUCACCAGUUGAGGGUCUCAAGGUGUUAAAAAUAAAAGUGACAUUAAAGGAGGAGCACACAGGCUGAGGGGACACGGAGAGUUUAUUAAAUGAGGAGCAGAGCUGAGAGGAGAAGAAAAAGAAGAAAGAGGAGAAUUUAGGGGAGAGUGGAUGGGGGGCUCCGUCACUGACAGGGGGGUCAGUCUGAUCACCACUGCU
Molecule: long non-coding RNA, 507 nt
Organism: Erpetoichthys calabaricus (reedfish)
Lineage: Eukaryota; Metazoa; Chordata; Cladistia; Polypteriformes; Polypteridae
Exons: 2
Source: RefSeq, a predicted model, not a curated record